UCUCGGCUCACGCAGGUGCCGACGGGCUCUCAUAAGGCCCGGACGCGCGGUUCGACUCCGCGGUGAGCC
RNAcentral lists this transfer RNA (69 nucleotides) under Nocardia asteroides. Its description in RNAcentral is "tRNA-Met(cat)". Lineage: Bacteria; Bacillati; Actinomycetota; Actinomycetes; Mycobacteriales; Nocardiaceae. The record is from RNAcentral.